RNAcentral lists this ribosomal RNA (277 nucleotides) under uncultured bacterium. RNAcentral's name for it is "partial 16S ribosomal RNA". It matches the Rfam family "Bacterial small subunit ribosomal RNA", at positions 333 to 607 of the family's 1533-position model. The record is from RNAcentral.
ACGAUCCUACGGGGCGCAGCAGUGAGGAAUAUUGGUCAAUGGGAGAGAUCCUGAACCAGCCAAGCCGCGUGAGGGAAGACGGCCCUAUGGGUUGUAAACCUCUUUUGUCGGAGAACAAAACCCGGGACGAGUCCCGGACUGCGUGUAUCCGAAGAAAAAGCAUCGGCUAACUCCGUGCCAGCAGCCGCGGUAAUACGGAGGAUGCGAGCGUUAUCCGGAUUUAUUGGGUUUAAAGGGUGCGUAGGCGGUCCGUUAAGUCAGCGGUAAAAUUGAUGGG